CCCUUAGAUGUCCUGGGCUGCACGCGCGCUACACUGAUGUGUCCAGUAAGCACCUAACCUCUUCCGAAAGGAACGGGUAACCUUUGCAAAGCACAUCGUGAUGGGGAUAGAUUAUUGCAAUUAUUAAUCUUCAACGAGGAAUGCCUAGUAGGCGCAAGUCAUCAGCUUGCGUCGAUUACGUCCCUGCCCUUUGUACACACCGCCCGUCGCUCCUACCGAUUGGGUGUGCUGGUGAAAUGUUCGGAUCGGCCGUUUGUCGCGGUUUCCGCGUCAUGUGGCUGAGAAGUUCAUUAAACCCUCCCACCUAGAGGAAGGAGAAGUCGUAACA
RNAcentral lists this ribosomal RNA (328 nucleotides) under uncultured eukaryote. Its description in RNAcentral is "partial 18S ribosomal RNA". It matches the Rfam family "Eukaryotic small subunit ribosomal RNA", at positions 1470 to 1796 of the family's 1831-position model. The record is from RNAcentral.